This 86-nucleotide transfer RNA is filed under the name Saccharothrix sp. RNAcentral describes it as "tRNA-Tyr". Lineage: Bacteria; Bacillati; Actinomycetota; Actinomycetes; Pseudonocardiales; Pseudonocardiaceae. The record is from RNAcentral.
GGUGGAGACGGGCGGUGCCGCCCACCCCGACUGUAAAUCGGGUGCCCGCGAGGGCGUUGCCGGUUGGACUCCGGCCUCCACCACCA